Molecule: long non-coding RNA, 1269 nt
Filed under: Ananas comosus (pineapple)
Lineage: Eukaryota; Viridiplantae; Streptophyta; Magnoliopsida; Poales; Bromeliaceae
Description: long non-coding RNA (ACOM_LNC036995)
Source: RNAcentral
CUCCGUGGCUUCUCCGGAAAACCGGAGUUACUAUUCACUUAAGUGAAAACUAAUAAUCGCGUAACUUCUCCAUUCUAGCUCAUUUUCUCCUGAAACUUGACGAGUGCUUAUGUAAUUAAAUUACACACAUAAACAUCAUCAACAGAGAGUUUAGUUGCACUGUAAAAAAAAUCUCAGUCCUUACAGUCUAUCAGUCAUAGGCAUAGUUAAUUCAGAUUCGGCAAAAAUUCGGUACAAAUAUUAUACGCAUAAAAUUUAUUUUUUAAUUUUUAAAUUCAUUGAAAAAUUUGAUUUAAAAACGGAUUCGGUAUAAAAUAUAAAAUAUAAGAUAUAAAAUAUAAGAUAAUUUAUAUUUAAAAAUAAAAUUAUAAUUUUUUAUUCAUAUUUUCAAUAAUUCGGCAAUAAUUUGCGAAUAAUUUGGCUGGCCUAAAAAUUCGUGAAUAAUUCUCUCUUUCUUUGGAAAAAAUUCAUAAACGAACUGUUUAAUUCGGAUUUUCAAUAAUUCACGAAUAAUUAGCGAAUAAUUCGCGAAUUUACUAACUAGGGUCACAGGUCGCUCGUAUUUGGCUCAAAAUUGCACAAAUUUGAAUUAUGUGUUUAAUAAAUGAAUGCUAUUAAUAACAAACAAAUUUUAUUGUCAUCCAUUUAUUUUUAAUGAUUGUCACGCCCCGGGGUCCCUUUUUAUUUUGGAAAAACAGCGGAAACGACUAAAAUUUUUUUUUUUUUUUUGAAACACCUGACCCCAGAGUAUGUCAGAUCCGCCACAAAUACAGGGAAUCCACUGUUCACACGAACAGAGUCUCCCCUGUAUCUGCACGGCGUCGCACAUAUACAAUUAUACAACCAGAGUACAACCAGAAUACAACCACAACCAUAUGAACAUACAACCUCAACCGCACAUACAGACGUCCAUAUAUUCACCAUUCACAACACGACGGUAUACAUAGUUUUAAACAUAAAUCCAAAUCUAUCAUUUGAGACGUUUCCUACCCGGAAACAAGUUUUGAAAUACUAAGUCUCAGAAAUCCAUUGAAAGCUCCUUUUAAAACUGUUUCCCACGCGGAAACCAUUAUCUUUUAAAACGCUACCACGAGGGGUAGAAAACUGUAUCGCAUAUGAAAAUUCUUUUCUUUUUUUUUUUAAAACAAGCGCUACCACGAGGGGUAGAAAAUCAUUUUACUUUGAAAAGCCCAAAAAUCUCUUUUUAUCACAAUACGUAAAGCCAGCGAAAACCAAUUUCUCAAGUACAGAAUGAAACUGAACCGUAAU